This 440-nucleotide ribosomal RNA is filed under the name uncultured bacterium. RNAcentral describes it as "partial 16S ribosomal RNA". It matches the Rfam family "Bacterial small subunit ribosomal RNA", at positions 338 to 795 of the family's 1533-position model. The record is from RNAcentral.
CCUACGGGUGGCAGCAGUGGGGAAUAUUGCACAAUGGGGGAAACCCUGAUGCAGCAACGCCGCGUGAGUGAAGAAGUAUUUCGGUAUGUAAAGCUCUAUCAGCAGGGAAGAAAAUGACGGUAACUGAGUAAGAAGCCCCGGCUAACUACGAGCCAGCAGCCGCGGUCAUACGUAGGGGGCAAGCGUUAUCCGGAUUUACUGGGUGUAAAGGGAGCGUAGACGGCGAUGCAAGUCUGAAGUGAAAGCCCGGGGCGCAACCCCGGGACUGCUUUGGAGACUGUAUGGCUGGAGUGCUGGAGAGGAAAGUGGAAUUCCUAGUGUAGCGGUGAAAUGCGUAGAUAUUAGGAAGAACACCAGUGGCGAAGGCGGCUUGCUGGACAGUAACUGACGUUGAGGCUCGAAAGCGUGGGGAGCAAACAGGAUUAGAUACCCCUGUAGUC